GAAGUGCUGUGAUGCCCUUAGAUGUUCUGGGCUGCACGGUAAGCUUAACCCCCUAUAACCCUUAUUAUAUUAACGACUUUAUGCUAACGAUAUUUUACAGCGCGCUACACUGACAGAGCCAGCGAGUACUCCCUUGACCGAAAGGUCCGGGUAAUCUUGUGAAAACUCU
Molecule: ribosomal RNA, 169 nt
Filed under: Sordariomycetes sp.
Lineage: Eukaryota; Fungi; Ascomycota; Sordariomycetes
Description: partial small subunit ribosomal RNA
Source: RNAcentral